GACGAACGCUGGCGGCGUGCUUAACACAUGCAAGUCGAACGGAAAGGCCCUGCUUUUGUGGGGUGCUCGAGUGGCGAACGGGUGCGUAACACGUGAGUAACCUGCCCUUGACUUUGGGAUAACUUCAGGAAACUGGGGCUAAUACCGGAUAGGAGCUCCUGCUGCAUGGUGGGGGUUGGAAAGUUUCGGCGGUUGGGGCUGGACUCGCGGGUAAUCAGCUUGUUGGUGGGGUAGUGGCUUACCAAGGCUUUGACGGGUAGCCGGCCUGAGAGGGUGACCGGCCACAUUGGGACUGCGAGACGGCCCAGACUCCUACGGGAGGCAGCAGUGGGGAAUAUUGCACAAUGGGCGGGAGCCUGAUGCAGCAACGCCGCGUGCGGGAUGACGUCCUUCGGGGUGUAAACCGCUUUCGCCUGUGACGAAGCGUGAGUGACGGUAAUGGGUAAAGAAGCACCGGCUAACUACGUG
Molecule: ribosomal RNA, 468 nt
Filed under: uncultured bacterium
Lineage: Bacteria
Description: partial 16S ribosomal RNA
Rfam family: Bacterial small subunit ribosomal RNA
Source: RNAcentral